Molecule: long non-coding RNA, 277 nt
Filed under: Carica papaya (papaya)
Lineage: Eukaryota; Viridiplantae; Streptophyta; Magnoliopsida; Brassicales; Caricaceae
Description: long non-coding RNA (CPAP_LNC008055)
Source: RNAcentral
GGUGAAUAUUUUACAAGUGAAAAGCCCAGUUAAAACAACCCACGUAAGGCAAUUUUAGUAGGACAGAAGAUAAGCAAGGGGCAUAUAUAACAUAUUACAUAAAUAUGUUAUAUAAGAAAGAAAAACAAAAGAAAAAGUCCCAGAUGGAAAUUUGAUCUCAUAUAUAUAAUAUAUAUAUAUUUAUUGUACGGAUCAUAUGAGAGUAUCCAAAUGGGAAGGAAAGCCUACGCUUCACUUCUUGCCCUUCUGCCCAACAUGCAAACCAGUGAAGUAAGCC